This 1308-nucleotide ribosomal RNA is filed under the name Anaerosalibacter massiliensis. RNAcentral describes it as "Bacterial large subunit ribosomal RNA". It matches the Rfam family "Bacterial large subunit ribosomal RNA", at positions 1629 to 2925 of the family's 2925-position model. The record is from Rfam by way of RNAcentral. Lineage: Bacteria; Bacillati; Bacillota; Tissierellia; Tissierellales; Sporanaerobacteraceae.
AGUAUAUAAAUACCCGUACCGCAAACCGACACAGGUAGGCGAGGAGAAAAUCCUAAGACGUGCGGAAGAACCCUUGUUAAGGAACUAGGCAAAAUAACCCCGUAACUUCGGGAGAAGGGGUGCCAACUAAGGUGAAGCAUUUACUGCGUAAGCAUUAGUUGGCCGCAGUGAAUAGGCCCAAACGACUGUUUAUCAAAAACAUAGGUCUCUGCUAAGUCGAAAGACGAUGUAUAGGGGCUGACACCUGCCCGGUGCUGGAAGGUUAAGGGGAAGAGUUAGCGUAUGCGAAGCUCAGAACUUAAGCCCCAGUAAACGGCGGCCGUAACUAUAACGGUCCUAAGGUAGCGAAAUUCCUUGUCGGGUAAGUUCCGACCCGCACGAAAGGUGUAACGAUUUGGGCACUGUCUCAACAAGGGAUCCGGUGAAAUUGUAGUACUCGUGAAGAUGCGAGUUACCUGCGACAGGACGGAAAGACCCCGUGGAGCUUUACUGUAGGCUGACAUUGGAUUUCGGUAUUGCUUGUACAGCAUAGGUGGGAGACUGAGAAGCUAGGGCGCCAGCUUUAGCAGAGUCAACAUUGGGAUACCACUCUUGCAAUGCUGAAGUUCUAACCAGAGACUGUGAAUCCAGUCUUGGGACACUGUCAGUCGGGCAGUUUGACUGGGGCGGUCGCCUCCUAAAAUGUAACGGAGGCGCUCAAAGGUUCCCUCAGCACGGUCGGAAAUCGUGCAUAGAGUGUAAAGGCAUAAGGGAGCUUAACUGCGACACCUACAAGUGGAGCAGUAAGGAAACUUGGACUUAGUGAUCCGGUGGCACCGCAUGGAAGGGCCAUCGCUCAACGGAUAAAAGCUACCCCGGGGAUAACAGGCUUAUCUCCCCCAAGAGUCCACAUCGACGGGGAGGUUUGGCACCUCGAUGUCGGCUCGUCUCAUCCUGGGGCUGGAGUAGGUCCCAAGGGUUGGGCUGUUCGCCCAUUAAAGAGGCACGCGAGCUGGGUUCAGAACGUCGUGAGACAGUUCGGUCCCUAUCCGUCGUAGGCGUAGGAAAUUUGAGAAGAGCCAUUCCUAGUACGAGAGGACCGGAAUGGACAGACCACUGGUGCAUCAGUUGUCUUGCCAAAGGCACAGCUGAGUAGCUAUGUCUGGAAGGGAUAAGUGCUGAAGGCAUCUAAGCACGAAGCCCCCUUCAAGAUGAGAUUUCCCAUCGUAAGAGUAAGACUCCAAGUAGACUACUUGGUUGAUAGGUCUCAGGUGUAAGAGUAGCAAUAUUCUUAGCUAAGAGAUACUAAUAAGUCGAGGGCUUGACCAA